UACGUAGGCAGCGAGCGUUGUUCGGAGUUACUGGGCGUAAAGGGUGUGUAGGCGGUUCUUUAAGUUUGGCGUGAAAUCUCCCGGCUCAACCGGGAGGGUGCGUCGAAUACUGAGGGACUAGAGUACGGGAGAGGAAAGUGGAAUUCCUGGUGUAGCGGUGAAAUGCGCAGAUAUCAGGAGGAACACCGAUUGCGAAGGCAGCUCGCUGGAACGUUACUGACGCUGAGACGCGAAAGCGUGGGGAGCAAACAGG
Molecule: ribosomal RNA, 253 nt
Filed under: uncultured bacterium
Lineage: Bacteria
Description: partial 16S ribosomal RNA
Rfam family: Bacterial small subunit ribosomal RNA
Source: RNAcentral